This 501-nucleotide ribosomal RNA is filed under the name Nonomuraea sp. 2WH4_16. RNAcentral's name for it is "bacterial SSU rRNA". It matches the Rfam family "Bacterial small subunit ribosomal RNA", at positions 431 to 955 of the family's 1533-position model. Lineage: Bacteria; Bacillati; Actinomycetota; Actinomycetes; Streptosporangiales; Streptosporangiaceae. The record is from RNAcentral.
CUCUUUCAGCAGGGACGAAGUUGACGUGUACCUGCAGAAGAAGCGCCGGCUAACUACGUGCCAGCAGCCGCGGUAAUACGUAGGGCGCAAGCGUUGUCCGGAAUUAUUGGGCGUAAAGAGCUCGUAGGUGGCUGGUCGCGUCUGCCGUGAAAGCCCGCAGCUUAACUGCGGGUCUGCGGUGGAUACGGGCCGGCUAGAGGUAGGUAGGGGCAAGUGGAAUUCCUGGUGUAGCGGUGAAAUGCGCAGAUAUCAGGAGGAACACCGGUGGCGAAGGCGGCUUGCUGGGCCUUACCUGACGCUGAGGAGCGAAAGCGUGGGGAGCGAACAGGAUUAGAUACCCUGGUAGUCCACGCUGUAAACGUUGGGCGCUAGGUGUGGGACCCUUCCACGGGUUCCGUGCCGGAGCUACGCAUUAGCGCCCGCCUGGGGAGUACGGCCGCAAGGCUAAACUCAAGGAAUUGACGGGGGCCGCACAGCGGCGGAGCAUGUUGCUUAUUCGAC